This 504-nucleotide ribosomal RNA is filed under the name uncultured bacterium. RNAcentral's name for it is "partial 16S ribosomal RNA". It matches the Rfam family "Bacterial small subunit ribosomal RNA", at positions 30 to 523 of the family's 1533-position model. The record is from RNAcentral.
AUUGAACGCUGGCGGCAGGCCUAACACAUGCAAGUCGAACGGUAGCACAGAGAGCUUGCUCUCGGGUGACGAGUGGCGGACGGGCGAGUAAUGUCUGGGAAACUGCCCGAUGGAGGGGGAUAACUACUGGAAACGGUAGCUAAUACCGCAUAACGUCGCAAGACCAAAGUGGGGGACCUUCGGGCCUCACACCAUCGGAUGUGCCCAGAUGGGAUUAGCUAGUAGGUGGGGUAAUGGCUCGCCUAGGCGACGAUCCCUAGCUGGUCUGAGAGGAUGACCAGCCACACUGGAACUGAGACACGGUCCAGACUCCUACGGGAGGCAGCAGUGGGGAAUAUUGCACAAUGGGCGCAAGCCUGAUGCAGCCAUGCCGCGUGUAUGAAGAAGGCCUUCGGGUUGUAAAGUACUUUCAGCGGGGAGGAAGGCGGUGAAGUUAAUAACUUCACCGAUUGACGUUACCCGCAGAAGAAGCACCGGCUAACUCCGUGCCAGCAGCCGCCGUAA